Non-coding RNA from Misgurnus anguillicaudatus (oriental weatherfish), 1692 nucleotides. The record is from RefSeq and is a predicted model, not a curated record. Lineage: Eukaryota; Metazoa; Chordata; Actinopteri; Cypriniformes; Cobitidae.
AACGAUAUCAGGGCUUUACGAGCCACAGGUGGGAAGUAUCUUUGAAGCAAACUGUGAUUGGAGGCUGGGGGUUGAUGAGACGCAUAAAUAGCUUCAUAGGGACACAAGUAAAGGAGCGAUGGACACGAGAGCGAUGUACACGGGGAGCGAUUGACACGGGGGAAGCUCCUUUGCCACAGGCAAACAAAGACACGCACCUUUUGAAGAGCCCGAAGGCUCUGUUGAUCCGGGGAUCGCUGAAGCGACCGGAAAGAGGACAGAGCCACAGGAGGCGAAAGGAAGGCAGGCGGGGAUCUUUAAGGAGGAGCACCCCGAAGCGGUGCUUAGUAUCCCUGUUGUUGACUUACAUCGAGGAAGAUACCGAAGACCUUAUAGGUGGAAGGAUUAAACGAAUGCUGAUCUUGGAUGAAAGAAACGAAGGCAAGACGCACCGUUGUGAGUAUACGUCUGUGGAAAAGUGUUGAUGGUGGCUGGAAAACGCCCUGUCUGUGCAUCUGGAAUUAUUGCAGCGUGAAGGCAAUCUAAGACGGAGGAAUUACAGCAGUUGAGAGUGGAAGGCCCUACCCCUGAGCUAGUGUGGUGGGUGAGCCGAAGGGUCUUUGUGAGGAAAACAACUCCAGUGACGAAAACCAACACUAGGCCGUGUCACCAUCGCUACAUUCUCGUCCAGAGCAAAGUAAAAGGAAGACGGGCGUCUAAUGUGUGCACUGAGUGGUGGGUGAGUUUUGGAUGUAGAAAUUUUCACUUGAAGUGGUGCUGUGUAAUGCUGUGUAUUGCAGUGGGAUUGCUGUUGUCUUGUCUGACGUACCCCCGCCUCCAGUCACUCGCUCUUGAGACGACGAAGAGGAAAGAACGGUCCUAGAGUAAGACCUGUAUAGGAUUAUGCUGUGAGUGUGUUUCAGUCUUCGAAUCACGGAGUGGUAUCUCGAAGUAUUUUCCCAGCCAAACGAUCGGCGGACUUGAGUUUAGGAGUGGCGGCGAAGAACUGUGCUACUGACGGUGUGUGAGUAUUACCCAUGAUAUUGCUACCUUACCUGUGUCUUUUUGAUCAACACAGAGCUUGAGGCGAAGGAGAUCCGCCGGCCCGAGGUCUCGACGAAAGGGCGCCCCGGUCCAGUUUUCGAUCGACCAACGGGUCUCGAGGAAAGGGCAGCGCUCGACCCGGUGAGCCGGCGUGACGUUUCUCGCCCCUCUAUAGACCAACGAGCUCGCCGAGAGGGUUUUGGCCCCCGGCGCCACCUAGGAAACCACUGUCCAGUUGACGCAUCGCGUAGCCAGCCACCGUAAGUCCGCCACCCUGUUAAGUGAAAUAUAACUUGUUAAAACUGCCUAAUCGACAGGGAAGAGGAGUGUGUCGUGAAGGCUGUGCAGAGAGCCAUACCCAUCCAAAGCUGUAGUCAGCGACGAGUCAUCUGUGGAGAGAGAGAGACAGCGUGAAUGUUGAGAUAACGAACUGUGAAGAGAGCCAUACCUACCCAAAGCUGUAGUCAGCGACGAGGUGAGAGAAACCAUUGGAAACCGAUUCACUGUGCCUUUGUGUCCCAGCAGUCAUCUGUGGAGAGAGAGAGACAGCGUGAACGCCGAGAUAACGAACUGUGAAGAGAGCCUAGAGGGGCUGUUAUUUUAAGUUCCCCUUUUUCCCUGCCCUAUUUAUUAAUUUUAAAUAAAUUAAAUAAAGUACAUUUUAAUUUA